AAUUACUCGGCUUCAGUAAUUUGACACAGUGCAAGAAUUCACCUGAAAAGAUUGGCAAGGAGAGUCUGCUCACCCCACAAGAAAAACUUUAAAGUGACACCAUCACCAUCAACAAGAGUAAUCUGUUUUCUUUAUUUGUAGGCUGAUGAGUAGUGGGUUCAUGAAGUUUGCUCGUCCGUGCAAGAGUUAUUCAUAUUUUUGAUCCGUAAAUGGUAAUGCCCAGUGAAGAAGGUUGCAGAAGGUUGCUUUCUUCAAGUAUUGAAGGAGAAUGACGACCGUAAAAAAGAAAAAGGAGAAUGGUAGGGGUGCAAGUGUCAUUUACAUAUUAUAUUUUAAAUAUAUCUAAACUUCCAGUUAAUAGAAAGAGCCGGUUUCCAAUUUCCCCUCUUGACAUAUGCUUUAAUCUCAUUGGUUCUCACCUAUAUGGCACCGGUGCAAGACCCAUCCUCUAUUGCACCUUAUACUCCACCGUAAAUAUAAUAUAGAAAUAUAUUUGUCAAGAAUAAAUUGAUUGGUUAAAUUUGUUCCUGAAAGUGUUGGACGGUGGCAAGUUCGUCACUGAAUUUAAACAUUUCCCUCGCGGUUCUAGAUUGUGUAAAAUGUCUGUCAAAUUAGUCUAUAUCGUUAGAUAAAACGUUGGUCAAGUUAGUUUAUAUAGUCUAUACAGACACUAACCUAACUGACAUUUUACACAAUUAGAAAUUAUAUGAGGUUUUUUUUUUUCUCUAAAGACAAAGACAAACUUAUUGGCGUCCAACACUUCUGUUUAUCAAUUUCACCAUUUCACUAAAAAAAAAAAA
Molecule: long non-coding RNA, 800 nt
Organism: Lotus japonicus
Lineage: Eukaryota; Viridiplantae; Streptophyta; Magnoliopsida; Fabales; Fabaceae
Exons: 3
Source: RefSeq, a predicted model, not a curated record